UUAUUAUUUAAAGAUAAUCCUAAUUUAUUAUAAAUAAGGUAAUUCUAACCCAUUAUAAAGGAAGUAGAGUUUAGGUUUUACUGUUUAAUAAAUUUUUUAGAGGUGGUUGAGUGUAGUGAAAGUCAAGUUCGGCACUUUAGAGGAGGAAGUCGAGAGUAGGUGAAGUGGAGUUCUAACGUAACUUGAGUUACAUUAUAUUUUUCACUUACAUCAAAACAAAUAACGGAAAUGAUGGAACUUGAGUUCCAUCACUCUAUUUACAUCAAAACAAA
This 272-nucleotide long non-coding RNA is filed under the name Ananas comosus (pineapple). RNAcentral's name for it is "long non-coding RNA (ACOM_LNC018950)". The record is from RNAcentral. Lineage: Eukaryota; Viridiplantae; Streptophyta; Magnoliopsida; Poales; Bromeliaceae.